UACGUAGGGGGCGAGCGUUGUCCGGAGUUACUGGGCGUAAAGCGCACGCAGGCGGUCGUGUCAGUUUGGGGUUACAGCUCCCGGCUUAACCGGGAGAGCGCCUCGAAGACGGCAGGACUUGAGGGCCAAAGAGGGACACAGAAUUCCGGGUGUAGUGGUGAAAUGCGUAGAUAUCCGGAGGAAUACCAAAGGCGAAGGCAGUGUCCUGGUUGGUACCUGACGCUCAGGUGCGAAAGCUAGGGGAGCGAACGGG
This 253-nucleotide ribosomal RNA is filed under the name uncultured bacterium. Its description in RNAcentral is "partial 16S ribosomal RNA". It matches the Rfam family "Bacterial small subunit ribosomal RNA", at positions 524 to 776 of the family's 1533-position model. The record is from RNAcentral.